GACGAACGCUGGCGGCGUGCUUAACACAUGCAAGUCGAACGGAAAGGCCCUGCUUUUGUGGGGUGCUCGAGUGGCCAACGGGUGAGUAACACGUGAGUAACCUGCCCUUGACUUUGGGAUAACUUCAGGAAACUGGGGCUAAUACCGGAUAGGAGCUCCUGCUGCAUGGUGGGGGUUGGAAAGUUUCGGCGGUUGGGGAUGGACUCGCGGCUUAUCAGCUUGUUGGUGGGGGAGUGGCUUACCAAGGCUUUGACGGGUAGCCGGCCUGAGAGGGUGACCGGCCACAUUGGGACUGAGAUAGGGCCCGGGGUGCUACGGGAGGCAGGAGUGGGGAAUAUUGCACAAUGGGCGGAAGCCGGGUGGAGCAACGCCGGGUGGGGGAGGACGGCCUUCGGGUGGGAAACCGCUUUCGCCUGUGACGAAGCGUGAGUGACGGUAAUGGGGAAAGAAGCACCGGCUAACUACGU
RNAcentral lists this ribosomal RNA (467 nucleotides) under uncultured bacterium. Its description in RNAcentral is "partial 16S ribosomal RNA". It matches the Rfam family "Bacterial small subunit ribosomal RNA", at positions 28 to 506 of the family's 1533-position model. The record is from RNAcentral.